UCAGUAGUCUUUUAAUUGAAGGCUUGUAUGAACGGUUGGAUGAGAGAGUAGCUGUCUCUUAAAUAACUUAGAAUUUGACUUUUAAGUGAAAAGGCUUAAAUUUAAUAGUGGGACGAUAAGACCCUGUAAAACUUUAUACACAUAGUAUUUAGUCUUUAAAUUAUAUUAAAAUAUUGAUAUAUACUCUGGGUAUUUCGUUGGGGAGACGUUGAUAUAAUUUGUAACUGUCUAACUAAAUAAAAUAAUUAUCAUUAUAUUUUGAUCCUUCUUUGUGGGUUAUAAGAAUAAGUUACUUCAGGGAUAACAGCGUAAUUUUCUCAGAGAGUUCUUAUCGAAGAGAUUAGUUGCGACCUCGAUGUUGAAUUAAAAUUUCAGCUAGGUGUAGCCGCUUAGUUAGUAGGUCUGUUCGACCUUUAAAAUUUUAC
This 425-nucleotide ribosomal RNA is filed under the name Palaemon peringueyi. Its description in RNAcentral is "partial 16S ribosomal RNA". It matches the Rfam family "Bacterial large subunit ribosomal RNA", at positions 1965 to 2599 of the family's 2925-position model. The record is from RNAcentral. Lineage: Eukaryota; Metazoa; Arthropoda; Malacostraca; Decapoda; Palaemonidae.